Molecule: ribosomal RNA, 720 nt
Filed under: benzene-decomposing bacterium S11
Lineage: Bacteria
Description: bacterial SSU rRNA
Rfam family: Bacterial small subunit ribosomal RNA
Source: RNAcentral
UGCAUGCUGGCGNCAGGCCUAACACAUGCAAGUCGAGCGGAUGACGGGAGCUUGCUCCUUGAUUCAGCGGCGGACGGGUGAGUAAUGCCUAGGAAUCUGCCUGGUAGUGGGGGACAACGUUUCGAAAGGAACGCUAAUACCGCAUACGUCCUACGGGAGAAAGCAGGGGACCUUCGGGCCUUGCGCUAUCAGAUGAGCCUAGGUCGGAUUAGCUAGUAGGUGAGGUAAUGGCUCACCUAGGCGACGAUCCGUAACUGGUCUGAGAGGAUGAUCAGUCACACUGGAACUGAGACACGGUCCAGACUCCUACGGGAGGCAGCAGUGGGGAAUAUUGGACAAUGGGCGAAAGCCUGAUCCAGCCAUGCCGCGUGUGUGAAGAAGGUCUUCGGAUUGUAAAGCACUUUAAGUUGGGAGGAAGGGCAGUAAGUUAAUACCUUGCUGUUUUGACGUUACCGACAGAAUAAGCACCGGCUAACUCUGUGCCAGCAGCCGCGGUAAUACAGAGGGUGCAAGCGUUAAUCGGAAUUACUGGGCGUAAAGCGCGCGUAGGUGGUUCGUUAAGUUGGAUGUGAAAGCCCCGGGCUCAACCUGGGAACUGCAUCCAAAACUGGCAACUANANUAUGGUANANGGUGGUGGAAUUUCCUGUNUACCGGNGAAAUGCUANAUNUAGGAAGGAACACCANNGNCGAAGGCGACACCUGNCUUAUCUUACNCUGAG